UGGGGAAUAUUGGACAAUGGGCGCAAGCCUGAUCCAGCAAUGCCGCGUGUGUGAAGAAGGCCUUCGGGUUGUAAAGCACUUUUAUCAGGAGCGAAACGCUGUCGGCUAAUACCCGGCGGAACUGACGGUACCUGAGGAAUAAGCACCGGCUAACUUCGUGCCAGCAGCCGCGGUAAUACGAAGGGUGCAAGCGUUAAUCGGAAUUACUGGGCGUAAAGCGUGCGUAGGCGGUUUCUUAAGUCUGCUGUGAAAUCCCCGGGCUCAACCUGGGAAUGGCAGUGGAUACUGGGAGGCUAGAGUGUGUCAGAGGGUGGUGGAAUUCCCGGUGUAGCGGUGAGAUGCGUAGAGAUCGGGAGGAACAUCAGUGGCGAAGGCGGCCACCUGGGACAACACUGACGCUGAGGCACGAAAGCGUGGGGAGCAAACAGGAUUAGAUACCCUGGUAGUCCACGCCCUAAAGCGAUGCGAACUGGAUGUUGGUCUCAACUCGGAGAUCAGUGUCGAAGCUAACGCGUUAAGUUCGCCGCCUGGGGAGUACGGUCGCAAGACUGAAACUCAAAUGAAUUGAC
Molecule: ribosomal RNA, 569 nt
Filed under: uncultured bacterium
Lineage: Bacteria
Description: partial 16S ribosomal RNA
Rfam family: Bacterial small subunit ribosomal RNA
Source: RNAcentral